CUGCUGCCUCCCGUAGGAGUUUGGACCGUGUCUCAGUUCCAAUGUGGGGGACCUUCCUCUCAGAACCCCUACGCAUCGUCGGCUUGGUGGGCCGUUGCCCCACCAACUACCUAAUGCGCCGCAUGCCCAUCCAUGACCGGGGUCGCCCCCUUUGACCGGCAGGGGAUGUCCCCUCCCGGCAUUAUGUUGUAUUGGGCGGGAUUUCUCCCGGUUAUCCAUCUGUCACGGCCAGGUUGCAUACGUGUUACUCACCCGUGCGCCGGUCGCCGGCGG
Molecule: ribosomal RNA, 273 nt
Filed under: uncultured bacterium
Lineage: Bacteria
Description: partial 16S ribosomal RNA
Source: RNAcentral